AAGUACCAAUGGCCGACGCCUGACGUUGAAGCUUCAGCCAUAAAUAAAGCGUCUGUUUUGAUUUUUAAGUAAAUAAUAACAAAAUUGAUUCAGAUCUACAUACAGUUUCCUGCUACUGUAGUUACGUGAAUGUAUGAGCUUCAGCUUUGGGAUUCAUCAAAAUGAUUGUCCAUGUUUCUGCGAGUGAUAAAUGGGCCCGCACUCUGUCGUGUGAUCACCGAUAACACUGGAUGCGAACUUCUCUUCUACCGACCAGCGAAGACCUUUCUUCUACUUGUAAGGAGUAUGCUACUAAGCUCCUGCCUGCUACAGUGUUUGCGGCAGCGGUAUUUCUCCUCAGACAUCUAAACUACUACCCUUCCAGCAAACAUCAGCCCCGUAUUAGAAUUCUCUUUCGUUUCUUAACCCCUUAUACCUUAGUGAUAACUAUACCUGCUUCCGUGUCAGGCCUGCUUGUGAUACUGCGUUCCCAGAAAGAAUAUUUCCCUGAAACAUUUGGCCUUUAGCGACAUAACACAGAAUAAAAUAUCGUGAGAUAUUGUUUAUUUAAAAAUUAUUCAUGCACCUUGAUUUUGGGUUCAUUCGUACCUGAAAAAUUCUAAAAAAAAAUUGCUACUACUUUUUUUAUUAAUUAUUCGUUAUAUUAUUAUUAAUACACAAUGAGCCCGUAUAGUGACAGGCUACAGAUUAAAAGAUCUGAUGUCGAUUUACCUAUCUUUAGUCACCACGUACACGCUUACUCUGCAGCUAACCCAGCAUCGUAUCCAAUAGUUACCAGCUGUUCUUUCCCCAGGAACUAAGAAGUGGCAGGAGCAGUCUAGAUUCAAGGUUAAGAAUGCGUGAAGCUUUACCUCCAUUCCUCAUAUAAAUUACUUUCAGAUCAAAGAAAUAAACUUAAGUUUAUUAUUGAAGUUAUUAAUACUGUAUUACUGUAAGCUUGUAUUUUAUAUUAGUAUUAUUACAGAUAAUGUUAAUGCAUGCAGUUAAAUUUCACUUAUUUUACCGUCCAAAAGAGUAAAAUAACAAAAGUAUUGUCAUGUCACUUGGAAUAAAAUUGACCUAUUAACCCUUCAAA
Zootermopsis nevadensis is the source of this 1075-nucleotide long non-coding RNA. RefSeq lists it as uncharacterized. The record is from RefSeq and is a predicted model, not a curated record. Lineage: Eukaryota; Metazoa; Arthropoda; Insecta; Blattodea; Termopsidae.